UGGGGAAUAUUGCGCAAUGGGGGGAACCCUGACGCAGCCAUGCCGCGUGAAUGAAGAAGGCCUUCGGGUUGUAAAGUUCUUUCGGUAAUGAGGAAGGGAUGUUGUUAAAUAGAUAGCAUCAUUGACGUUAAUUACAGAAGAAGCACCGGCUAACUCCGUGCCAGCAGCCGCGGUAAUACGGAGGGUGCGAGCGUUAAUCGGAAUAACUGGGCGUAAAGGGCACGCAGGCGGACUUUUAAGUAAGAUGUGAAAUCCCCGAGCUUAACUUGGGAACUGCAUUUCAGACUGGGAGUCUAGAGUACUUUAGGGAGGGGUAGAAUUCCACGUGUAGCGGUGAAAUGCGUAGAGAUGUGGAGGAAUACCGAAGGCGAAGGCAGCCCCUUGGGAAUGUACUGACGCUCAUGUGCGAAAGCGUGGGGAGCAAACAGGAUUAGAUACCCUGGUAGUCCACGCUGUAAACGCUGUCGAUUUGGGGAUUGGGCUAUAUGCUUGGUGCCCGAAGCUAACGUGAUAAAUCGACCGCCUGGGGAGUACGGCCGCAAGGUUA
RNAcentral lists this ribosomal RNA (547 nucleotides) under uncultured bacterium. RNAcentral describes it as "bacterial SSU rRNA". It matches the Rfam family "Bacterial small subunit ribosomal RNA", at positions 355 to 896 of the family's 1533-position model. The record is from RNAcentral.